CUUUAAUGCCGCAUGCUCCAUAAAAGGCAUUGAAAGCUUCCUCUUGUAGUUGAAAGAGGAACAUACAGUACACGUCAAACCACCGCGCAAUUUCUCAUUCCGUUUAGAGCGAGUCAAUCUCGGCUCUAACUGCAGUGGCUAAAGUGCUCCGCUGAACAAGGAAUGCAUUACUGAGACCAUGAGGGAGGGAGACAAAGUAAAUUGGCUUGAGCUGAAUGAGCCGGAGACACCUCAAACUGUUGUGAGGGAGCUCGCUCCACUUGUGGUCGUUUAAAUUAAGACGCGGUGCCUGCUGGAAGAAUGUGAAGGAUGUCUCAUGCAGUAAGCUGAAGGUCCUCGGUGCUUUGACGGCAGCGACAGCCACAGAGGCUUCAGAGAAGGACGUGGACACAUUUGGUAUGUGUGACUGGUGGCUCAGCCUUCCGUAUCACACACCGGCAGCAAGGUCAGUACACCUGGGUGAGGGGAAGCUGCACAUCACUGAAGAGCUGUGCAGGUGGAGGCAGAGCAGUACCGCUGUCACAGAGCAAUCAGUGGUGUUGUGACAGUAGUUGGGCACGGGUCAUGCUAUCUGCAGCAUGAGGGGAAAACGGGUGGAAUCUUGUCACAACUGUCACAACAACAACAAAGAAAAGAAAAGAAAAAAAGGGGGGAUUCAUUAUUAAUGGAUAGAGUGGAAACUCCUAAGUUUUUCUCAGUUUGAUCUCAUGUUCUUUUCACUCUCUGGCUCUCUGCACUGUGGUGCACUAUGAAUCCAAACCACUCUGCUCUCUUCUAGGCUUUGUGGUUCAAAGUGAACGCAAAUUGAACUUCUCCCAUUUUGACCAGAACAAAAUCAUAACAGUUCCAUGAAUUUGAAUCAUGUUCUAGGUGUGCCAAAAACAGAUCUCGUCUUAGAGAAAAGGGCAGGCAGCGGGUUGCAAUGGUUUCUCCCUCCACCGCCCUGUUUUUUUAAUGUAUACCUGCUCCAAUAUGAGACAUGACGCUGAAGAAACUACCAGGAGAGACAAACAAGAUAAAGCAGGAAGCCCGACCGGCCUUAGAAACAAACUGAAGGAGAAAUAACUAAAAAUUAAUGUGCAAGAUUAAUGAGAAACAACCUGGUGCCAGCAGCACAGGCUCAAGUUUCUCAACUGACUCAGUCAUGAAAACAUUUUUGUUUUCCUCUGGUUCAUAACGGAAAGCUGCGGGACCCUCGAGAGGAAAAAAUAAAAAACUCCCACAUUCCUUACCUUAUUUGCUUUCCCCCCCUACAAAAGGUCCCCAAGAAUAAACUGAUGGUUUGAUUAGUGCAUACUGCAAUGAAGCCUCGCAUAAUAGACUUUUGGAUGGCUGGUGUGCCUCCAGGUGCUCAAGGCCACCUGAACUCUGUGUGGUCCUUGCUGUGUCACAUUUACAAAGCCACAGUACUGCCUCAGGGGGACAUAUAUCCACAUAACACCUGGUGAAGAGGCAAAGCAAAUGAGAGGAAGUGAGCUGUUUCCACUAUCAGUGAAUAAAUCCCCAUAUUCUCAGUCCUACAUUGACUAAUGAGGUAAAUUACACAGUGCGCAAAAAAAGCAGAUUCCUUUUAGGACUAAAAACGCAGCCGAUUGUGGAUCCUGCCCCUGCCCAACAACUGACGGAUCUUUACUUGGCAAGAAAAACAACAUUGUGAUGAGGAUGCAAAGAAAAAAAUGAAUGCUAUGACAGGAAGCAUGCUUUUAGGAGAGCUACAGACACUGAUGUGCUGGAGACAGAGAGAGGCAGCCUAAAGAGAGACUUCUCUUGCUCCACUCAGAGAAAGCCUGUGUUGUUUGUCUUGUUUUCUCAGCCUGCACAUGCCAGCAAAAUCCCUCCAUUACCUUAACCCCACUCUCCGCUGCUGCCAUCUAUCAUUUUACCAAUGCUGGAGAAAUCUGAGUUCCUAUGCAGAAUUCUAAGCACACGGACCCUCCUGCCUCUCUGGGAGUACGUGGUGUGCUGGAUAUCCACCGUGCAUGCCAACCUCUCUGAAUGAGGGAAAACAUGUGGAGCAGAACACUUUCCAUUCACACUCACACUGAUCUUAAUUCCUUAAUGUGUUUUGUUUUCUGACUAAGAGAAAACCCAGAAGAAUCUUGAAUGCUGCUUUAAUGUAUGCACUUUAUCAGGUACAUAUUUGCUGUAUUGCAUUGCUGUACUGUAGCUAGCAGUGAUGUUUUGCAACUACAUUUACAUUUAUAUUCAAGGGGGAUAAAAACAACAGAAACGUUUACCUAUGACCUCGGUAAUGAACACAGGAAAAAGCUCUUUUAUGAAGACGGUUUUGUGGUGGAGGGGCUGUACAGAGUUACGUAUGAUUAGAUUACUCACAUUCUGACACUCGGAUGACAACAGAGGUUUCUCCAUUUUUCCUCCUUAGGCUGCAGAAACUGUGUUCUGUGGUCUGUGUAAUCAUAUCUGUCAGCCAGAUGCACACGAAACAUCACUGACACCUCUAUCAUUCGCUGCAAGAGGAGGACCUCAGUGCUAGGUGGAUGACACGCUAAUUGCCGGUGUGACGAAAGAAACAAGUGAAAAUCAGGCUAGGCUAAUUUUUUGGUUCAGUUUCACUGCCUGUGUUUUUUAUUUUAAUGUCUUUUCUCUUUAAUGUUUGAAAACCUGCAAAGCUCAUGAUGGCACAUGGAAACUUGGUGUGGGAAUUCACAAAAAAACCCCAAAACAACGACAAUGGUUGAAUGUGUGAGUUUUAACGCUGCAAACACAUUAAAAAAGAUGUGAUGAACAAAGAAGGUUCAAAUUUUGAGUGUCACUAUGACUUCACUUUAAAAAAAAAAGGAAAAAAAGAGGCAAUUAUCUAUGAUUGCAUCUGAAAGAGUGGGGAUUUAAAUGGCAGUGGCAUUUGCUCGGUCAUGCCGUCUUUUCAAGAGCCGUGGAAUCAAUUCUUUGGUGUGAAUCUUCAAAUUAUUAUUAAGGUACUAGUGGUUUGGAUUCCACAUCGCUACAAGUCAUUCUGCUGAAAAGCGGGCACAACAGUGACACGGUGUCUUACGCGACAGCUAUAAAUACAUGAAACGAUAUGAUAGCUAACAAAUAUGCUGAGCUAAAUUCCCGUCUUCAUGCACAACUAAACGCAAUACACAGAGUAAUAUUUAAGCAAACACAGGAGCACAAGGAGGCGAGGAGACAGAUGACUUUGAGGCUUUGGAAAGGGGGGCGGUGAUUUACAUAUUCAGUCAAUUCCCUGUUGCUGGCCGACAUGCAUAAUUCAUCCAUUUUAUUGACUGCUGAGGAAUUCUGUUAGGUGACUGAGAGAUACUCCCGAGAACAAAAGACGACUGUCCUUUUCAUAAGUGUCAUCAGGACCAGUAUGUCUGAGAGAUCCAAAGGCCUGUUUCUCUGUGUGACGGAUGACACAAGGCAUAUUUACAAAGACUGCAUUUUCAGUGUGUUGAAGGAACAGCUUAAAGUGCUACAUAUGCUGUCGCAGUGUUGCUGAUAUUAAUCAAAAUAAAUGUUGAGCCCGGUGUCCUUGGCAAUAGAAUUGCUCAGAGCCUAAAUUGAAUUGAGGCAACAUUCAGGACGCCGGCGAAUACACACACAGCGCGUUACAGCGGAAUAAUCCAUCGUAUGAUCGAUACUGAGUGCAUUGGAAAACGUAGCAUCGGAACAGAUAGGCCCUGCUUUUCUACAGACAACUACACCUGCGGUCACUUACUUCAGUUAUGUACACCUGUUCAGCAUCUUGAAAGUGCACAUUUCUAAUCAGCUAAUCGGCACCUUAAUGCAUUUAGUCGUGCUGAAGUUCAAGAUGAGCAUCAGAAUGGGAAAGAAAGAUCAUUUAAGUGAUUUUGAACAUGGCAAGGUUGUUGGUGCUAGAUGGGCUCGCCUGAGUAUUUGAGAAACUGCUGAACUACUGAGGCUCUCCUACACAACUGUCUCUAGCGGUCAGAGGGAAACGGCCAGAAUGCUUACAAAUUGACAGGAAGACAAUAGUAACUGAAAUAACUUCUCGUUAUGACCAAGGUAUGCAGAAGAACCAUGCACAGUGCAUCUUGAAGCUAAUGGGCUAUAGCAGAUCACAUGGUGAGCCACUACUGUCAGCUGAAAACAAAGUACGAUUCAUAUUAGCUCACCAAAACUGAACAACAGAAGAUUGGAAACAUUGGCUGGUCCGCUGAGUCUCGAUUUCUGCUGCCACAUUCAGAUGGUUGGGUCAGAAUUUGGUGUGAACAACAUGAAAGUUUGGAUCCAUCCUUGCAGCCCUGUAUUAAGAAUUCAGGCUGCUGCUGGUGUAAUGAUGUUGGGCCCAUUAGUACAAACUGAGCACUGUUUAAAGCCCCGAGCACUACCUGAAUAUUGUUGCUGACCACGACCACAGUGUACCAUUUCCUACUUCCAGUAAGAUAACUCAUCAUUGUUACAACGCUCACAUAAUAUCAAACAUGACAGAGACUUCCCUGUACUUAAGUCACCAGAUCUCCAUCCAAAAGAAUACUUUAAGAUGGUAGGGUCAGAAUUUGCCGUACACUAUGUGACUCUGUGUUUAUACACCUCUCUGUGUAAAAUUAUUAGUUAUUAUUAAUCUCUGGCUCUCAUCCACAGCAUGUCUUUGUCCCGUCUUCCUCUGAGGAGUGUUUCCAGCUCUUUGUUGAAUCUGUGCCAUGAAGAAUUAAGAUAGCUCUGAGGAUCAAAGGGAGUACAAGCAAGACAUACCUAAUCAAGUGUCCAUUGACUCACAGCUUCCCACAGCACCUGCAGACGGGCAGGCACACAACCCUCCCCUCACUGGCAGCUGGAGUGGCUGAUGUUUAGGUGGAACACUUCAGGAGGAAUUUCGAGAGGUGGGUAAAGCUCCCGUUUCAACAACCUUGAAAUAUUAAACAGCUAAACACAUAAAUGUUAACCCGGCUGGCUUCAUCAUACCUCUAAUGUGAGCCUCUCCACUCUUCACAGGAGCCAUUCAACCAUUAACUGCACCCCAGCCAGCAGGGGUCAUUUGGCAGUUUUUGUUGCAGGUCUGCAAAACACCGUCUCAUCUACAAAAAGGUUGUUUUUUUUUGUUUGUUUUUUUAAAGUUAAUGAGUAACUAUAACCCAGUGCAGUGACUAAUGAUUAUUUUCAUUACUGAUUAAUCUGCAGAAUAACUCUAAAUUCAGAAACAUUUUUCCUUUGUUCAGUACAUUGUUAUUAAAUUGCUUAUUGUGUCUGACCAACAGUGAAACCCUCUUAUGAUCUGUUUUCUGUGACACGGGCAAUCAAAAGCAGCAAAUUACACCACGUAAGAUAAUGGGACCGGGUUCACGCUUGUAUUUUUUGGAUUGAGAAUGGCUGACUCAUGCAAAUGCCUGCUGAUUAUAAUUUGAAAGAUCAUAUUUAACACUAUUUUCUGUGCUGCUGGAUGAGUUGUACGUGUGUGUGAACGGUCACCUUUCUGCCUCCUGUGCGCAAUUUCCUCGUGUUCAGGUAUGGUCUCUCAAGCGUGGCUCGUCUGAUGACUUACCCUCUGGGGACAAUGGUUGGGGCUUUCAGGGGGAUGCCACUAUCUGCUAUCUGGUAGGGCACAAACUCCCCCUAGCCAACUACAGAAACAUGUGGGGGAGGGGGUUUCUUAAACAGAGCUUCUGAAUGUUGUUUCUAGUGGAAAAGCUCUCUUUCAUUAAAGAUAAUUGAGUUGUAGCCAAAACAAUACAGAUUGCAUUAGGGCCUUUAAUCAUGUUAAGGUGUCUUGCUUUUUUACUGGGAGUUUAGCUCAUUGUCAGCCCAUUUUGGGGUUGACCUUCUGCAGAGGUCGUUGCCAUAGGAGCGGAUGCUCCCAUUACCCAAGCACAGAUAAAUGUGUUGGCACUACAACCAUAAAUCCCUUUGCGCUUCCCGUCUAACCUCCCUGCUUUCCCCUGGCUUCCUUAUCAGGGGAAAGCGGGUGGAGGGGGGUGGCAGGUAAGACAGGCUGCAGAGAGAAGCUCCACAGAGCGGCCUCCAAUGUCAGAGGAGUCACCUGUGGGAUUAUAAAGGAGUUGUCAAUCAAGCCCAACACGUGAGGAACAAAGAGCGGCUACCGCUGGCCUGCCCUCA
This is a long non-coding RNA of Haplochromis burtoni (Burton's mouthbrooder), 6036 nucleotides long. RefSeq lists it as uncharacterized. The record is from RefSeq and is a predicted model, not a curated record. NCBI's taxonomy places the organism in Eukaryota, Metazoa, Chordata, Actinopteri, Cichliformes, Cichlidae. The transcript has 3 exons.